ACAAAGGCUCUUUUAAGAGCCACCCACAUCCUAAACUAAGAGCCC
Molecule: non-coding RNA, 45 nt
Filed under: Xyrichtys novacula (pearly razorfish)
Lineage: Eukaryota; Metazoa; Chordata; Actinopteri; Labriformes; Labridae
Rfam family: Histone 3' UTR stem-loop
About the family: The mRNAs of metazoan histone genes lack a poly-A tail. 3' end processing occurs at a site between a highly conserved stem-loop (modelled by this family) and a purine rich region around 20 nts downstream (the histone downstream element, or HDE).
Source: RNAcentral